This 734-nucleotide ribosomal RNA is filed under the name Citrobacter freundii. RNAcentral's name for it is "bacterial SSU rRNA". It matches the Rfam family "Bacterial small subunit ribosomal RNA", at positions 782 to 1533 of the family's 1533-position model. The record is from RNAcentral. Lineage: Bacteria; Pseudomonadati; Pseudomonadota; Gammaproteobacteria; Enterobacterales; Enterobacteriaceae.
CUAUCGGGGGUAGUCCACGCCGUCCCCGAUGUCGACUUGGAGGUUGUGCCCUUGAGGCGUGGCUUCCGGAGCUAACGCGUUAAGUCGACCGCCUGGGGAGUACGGCCGCAAGGUUAAAACUCAAAUGAAUUGACGGGGGCGGCGACAAGCGGUGGAGCAUGUGGCCCAAUUCGAUGCAACGCGAAGAACCUUACCUACUCUUGACAUCCAGAGAACUUAGCAGAGAUGCUUUGGUGCCUUCGGGAACUCUGAGACAGGUGCUGCAUGGCUGUCGUCAGCUCGUGUUGUGGGGUGUUGGGUUAAGUCCCGCAACGAGCGCAACCCUUAUCCUUUGUUGCCAGCGGUUCGGCCGGGAACUCAAAGGAGACUGCCAGUGAUAAACUGGAGGAAGGUGGGGAUGACGUCAAGUCAUCAUGGCCCUUACGAGUAGGGCUACACACGUGCUACAAUGGCAUAUACAAAGAGAAGCGACCUCGCGAGAGCAAGCGGACCUCAUAAAGUAUGUCGUAGUCCGGAUUGGAGUCUGCAACUCGACUCCAUGAAGUCGGAAUCGCUAGUAAUCGUGGAUCAGAAUGCCACGGUGAAUACGUUCCCGGGCCUUGUACACACCGUUUGUCACACCAUGGGAGUGGGUUGCCCCGAAGUAGGUAGCUUAACCUUCGGGAGGGCGCUUACCACCGCGGUGAUUCAUGACUGGGGGAAAUCGUAACAAGGUAACCGUAGGGAACCGUCUC